Long non-coding RNA from Equus caballus (horse), 4765 nucleotides. RefSeq lists it as uncharacterized. NCBI's taxonomy places the organism in Eukaryota, Metazoa, Chordata, Mammalia, Perissodactyla, Equidae. The record is from RefSeq and is a predicted model, not a curated record.
CAAAAUGGCUCUCUGCUGCACACCGCACCCUCCUGCACACCGCCCCCUGCUCCAGGUUGCUCAGAGCAAGAAUGUGUUUUCUGAAUGGGAUGCCCAUCGCUUUCCUAUAAAUACCCAAAGCUGGGGCUUCUUUGGAAAAUCAGAAGACCUGGGAACACGGCCACCACAGUGUGAGUUCCAUGACUUAAGAAUUCACUCAAACAAGAGCGAUGUCAAGGGCCCCCGACUGUCAGGCUCUGGGAGGACGCGGGGAGCUGCCCCCACGAGGGCGCGGUCCAGCUUCGUGUGCCCUCGGGACUCCCCCUCCAAGUCGUGAGCGAGAACAGACAGACGCCAUUCCUCUACUGGACACUCCGUGGGAUCCCGCCGCCCGAGCACAGCAGCCUGGUCGCCCUCAGUCCCCGAGGCUGGAGCGCCCCUGAGGUUUUGGGGGAGCCAUCGUGACCCGAACCCGCUCACAGAGGAGCAGGGAGAUGGCAGUCACCUCCUUUCCCUGCGUCCAAGCGCAGUCCUUGGAGGAGGCCUCAGAUUCCGGACACGGCCGCGUCCGCUCCCAGGACUUCACAGCCCGUCUCCCCGGCUUCCUCGUGGACGGUCACCUGGAACCCGUUCGUUGUUCGGCCGGAUUUGCGAGCGGCUUUCAGCCAAAUGCGUGACUUCUCCUUCUCCAGGUUUCUAAGGCUGACAACACAUUCUGACCAAGACAAGGAGCGUGAGCAUCUGGGCAGCUGCCCCACUGGACGAACUCCCGGGUCUGUGUUCGAGGGAAGUCCACGUGUCCAGAGGCCCCGACCAAGGCCUCACGUGGUCGCUUCGAGCCGCCUUCAGUUUUGUCUCCAGCUGGAGAAACAGUGGUGACGGCUCCCUCAUGUCAAGGCACCACGGCCAUGGUGGGGUUUGGCUGCCUGGUGUCUGUCCCUCUUUCUUCGUAUGGGAGCCCAACGGCCCGAAUUCCUGCUCCAGCCUGCCUACACCCCGAGGGGCCGCCUGCCAAGGGGCCUUGUCCCGGCCAACGGGCAGCAGAGGACCCAGGUGAGGCUAAGCAGUCACUUCCUACUGGGCAGAAUGUUGGCGCUCACUCAUUCAUUCGUUCCUGCGGGCUCAUUCAUUCGUUCCUGCGGCAGACCCCACAGCAUGGGCUAAUGAAAAGAUCCUCGUACCUGGGACUGCCUGGCUUAGCCAGUUACCAGGUGUGUGUGGCAGAUUGUAUUUCUGUUCACAAAUAUUUGGUGAUACAUCCCCGCCCCACUCACUUGGCAUGGCUAUGUGACCUAGCCUGGCUACUCCUCAGAGAGGUCAAGUGUCCCACCUGAGGUCACACAGCCUGUAAGUGGUGGAGUUGGGAUUUGAACCCUUCCACCUCACACGGUGCUGGGUCCCAGUGCCAGCCCCUCUCCCCACCAGGGGGUCUGAGAGCCCCUCCCAAGCCUCAUCCAGCCGUCAGUUGGCUCUGGCAAAACUCAUCCCAGAAGCGUCUGUGUUCUCCAUGGGACGUCUGCCCGACCCAGAGCUAUAAUGGUGGGCCCACGAGUGGUGGCGCCGACAAGCAGGGGUAGAAGGUUCUAGACGCUCUAUCACUGCCUUGGUGUUAAGCCAGAGCAGCUGAGGGCCCAGCCCUUCCCCAGACCAAGGACGGUCUCCCAGGACUAUACAGAGUGGCCGUCAUAGCAGCAACAGGUGACCUUGUGACCAGCGGUGCGCCUCAUCUCGUUUAUUCCUCCUGUAAAUGCACGAGGUGACAAUGUGUCUGAACGUUAAUGUCCCCCAGACGCCCCUGUUGGAAUCCUAGUCCCCAUGCUCGUGGUAUUAGGAGGUGGGCUCAUCGGGAGGUGCUGAGGUCGUGAGGGCGGAGCCUGGAGGAUGGGGUUGGUGCCCUGGUGAAGGAGACCCCGCAGAGCUCCCUGCCCCUUCCGUGUGAGGACACGGCAGGAAGUCUGCAGCCGGGAGAGGGCGUUCACCGGGCCCUGCCGGCACCCUGAGCUUGGACUUCCAGCCUCCAGAACUAUAAGAAAGAAAUUUCUGCUGUUCACCAGCCACCCAGCCUGUGGUGUUUGCAAUCGCAGCCUGGCGCACUAAGACGGGUGAGGGCUGUGAUCCUGACCCUGGUUGAUGGAGGGGGGAACUGAGGCUCAGAGUGAGGAGGGACUGGCCCAGACCACCUGGCUGGUCACCUCAGACCUGACUCAUCUGAGCGCAGAGCGGCCUCCUGUCCCGAGAUGAGUCAUCUCGUAGCUGACUUGGUUUUUAGCUCUUGUUUUCUCCCCUCUUCUGUGACUCACUGAGAACAGGGAACAGCAAGGAGCAGGGAGACUGUGAGGAGGGCACCCCAGCAGGGGAUGGGGCGGCACCCUGGGCUGGCCCCCUCCAGCUCAGAGCCCUGGAGAGGAACCGCUCCUGGGGGGCUGGGCAGGGCUGAGAACCAGCUCCCUCAGGGGCCCAUCAGCAAGGACCAGCCACCUCUGGGAGGACUAGGAAUUCCCACCACAAUUAUGUCUUGUUUUGCCCAUGGCCUCCGCCCACCCCCACCCCCACCUCGCACAGUGUCCCGUCCCAGCAGGUGCAGUCCUUUGAAAAGAAGGUCACAAAUGUCUUGACCCUGCUCCCAGGGAGAGGUGGGGUCGACAUCCCCUUUCUUGAAUUUAGGGGUCUUAGGACUACUUUCCCAGCAGAGUCCAUCGGAAAUGCUGCCGUGGGACUCCUGAAGCUUGGUCGGAAAAGGCCAGGCAGCUUCCUCUCGUCCCUGGGACGCUCGCUGGGGAGGAAGCCAGCCGCCAGACAAGGAGUCAACAACCCCGAGCCCGCCACGCAGGGCGCUCCCAUCCAUCGCCAGCCGAGCUCCCAGACGACCGCCAGCAUCCGCUUCCGGUCACUUGAGAGGGCAGCUCGGCCGUCCAGCCCAGUCGAUGUGCCCACCACCCAGUGAGGGACCCCAGCUAGCGAGGAUCGCCCAGCUGAGCCCUUCCUGAACUCUGCCCGACAAGAUCUGCGGCAGCACGGAACGGGGGUGGCUUGGCACCAUUCGAUGUGGGGUAACGUGGAGCAGCGGUUGAUGCCCAGCGUGUGAAGUGCUCCGGAGCGUGUCUAAGCAAGAGGCUCGGGUCCCGGGCUCCACCCCAGCCCCUGCCAGGCCCUGAUGCAGGCCAGAUCAGGGCGUCCUGGCCUCGGGCAGAGACGGGGGCAGGUGCAGCCAGCUCCAGGCAACAUUCCAGACGCCUACUGGGUGCUAGUUCCGGGGGAUAAAGAGAGGAUAAAGGAGAGGCCUCUCUCCGCCCUUGAAGCCCUUGUCAUCGGCCAGCUGCCCUCCGAAAUCCCAGCAGAGGCCUGAGCUGCAGCUUUCGAUAAAAAUCAAGCUCCUUGACACACAAACCCAGCUCCACCCUCUUUGCGCUUUCCCUCAGGCAACAUCCCCAGGGAGCCUUUGUCUUCCGUCCCCUUUGCACGCUUCACUCCUCUCCUUCAGUUCUGAGCUCAGGUGUUGCCUCCUCAGGGAAGCCCUCCUUGGUGCCCCUGACCGGGCCCAGUGCCCUUGUAAUUCUCUCAUAGAGCCUGGCUCUCCUUCCAGAGAGGGCUUAUCCUUGUCUGCACCUGUCCCAAGUUCUCUAACUGGAGCUAAAAUCCCGUAAGCCGGGAAGCCAGAGACCUAGCUUGCCUCCCGCUGCUUUAGGUGCAGGAAAAAACUGGGGCACGCGGAGCUCACAAGAUCUAGUGGCAGGCCUGAUGCAAUGAGACCCGAGCCCCUACCGGACACCCACACAAUCCUCCCUGCUCCUUAAGCCUUCCCACCUAUGGCAGUAGGUAAGACUGUGGCCCGUUUUGCAGAUGAGGCAACUGAGGCCCAGAGAGGUUAACUAACUUGCCUAAAGCCACACAGCUGUGCACAGAGGAGCAGGUAUUAGAACCCAGACGUGGCCGGCAUGGAGCAGUGUGACCGUGGCCUUGCCCACACCUCGCAGUGUCUUUCCUGCUCUCAUUGGGUUUCUGCCCUCUCCCCAUGCCUCGUCCGCCCCACACUCCACACUCAGCUCCUCCAAACCCGGCUGUCUCUGGCUCUGAAGCUCCUCUGACCGGCUUCUGAGUUCCCACAGGGCCUGGCAUGCUGGAAGUCAUUUUUAAGCUCUAGGACAACCUCAGAGAGGGUGUCAGGGCCCAGCAGAGGAGGGCGCCUUCUCUCAGCUUUUCCUGAAAAGACAGAGUGGGGGGUUCUGGUGACUGGGGAGAUGCCGCAAUCCUGCUGUCAUGUCACUCUCUCAAAUCCAGGGCCUCUCUGCUCCCCUAAGACUGCAGUGCCAGAGACACCAGGAGACCUGGGUUCGAAUCCCGGCUCUGCCACCUUCUAGCUGGGUGGCCUCAGGUGAAUCACUUGGUCUCUCUGAGCCUCAGUUUCCACAAAAUGGGGACGCAGACAGCACCUAUUUCUUAAGGUUGUCGUUAAAAAUUAAACAAACUCCUGUAUAUCAAUGUGCCUCGCCCCCAGGAGCUCUGUAAAUGCCUAUUAAAUCUGAACACGACAAUUGCCUUUGUUCUUACAGUACAGAAAGAAGCUUUAUAACACAAAGCCGACAAACUUGUUUUUUGAAAAACAAAACAACAUUUAUUUCUGUAAACUGUUUGAGUGCAGAUGUUCGUUGCAACCCCAAUACAGCACAGACCUCCUCCCCCCAAAUGAAAUGAGCCAGGAAAAAAAGAACAAAACAAUAUAAAAUGUGCUCAUGAAGAACCAAGCCAAUCUCAUCUUUCUUUGAGAAAAAAAAAAAAUCCUUUUGAA